GCACUCGCUCUGGCAGCACAUACACUAAAAUUAGAACGAUACAGAGAAGAUUAGCGUGUCCCCUGCACAAGGAUGACGUGCAACCUUGUGAAACGUUCCAUAAUUUU
Nomascus leucogenys (northern white-cheeked gibbon) is the source of this 107-nucleotide small nuclear RNA. The record is from Ensembl. NCBI's taxonomy places the organism in Eukaryota, Metazoa, Chordata, Mammalia, Primates, Hylobatidae.